Molecule: ribosomal RNA, 252 nt
Filed under: uncultured bacterium
Lineage: Bacteria
Description: partial 16S ribosomal RNA
Rfam family: Bacterial small subunit ribosomal RNA
Source: RNAcentral
UACGGAGGAUGCGAGCGUUAUCCGGAUUUAUUGGGUUUAAAGGGUGCGCAGGCGGCACGGUAAGCCGGCGGUCAAAUCGCGGGGCUCAACCCCGCCCAGCCGUCGGAACUGCCGGGCUAGAGUGGGCGAGAAGUGCGCGGAAUGCGUGGUGUAGCGGUGAAAUGCAUAGAUAUCACGCAGAACUCCGAUUGCGAAGGCAGCGCACCGGCGCCCUACUGACGCUCAGGCACGAAAGCGUGGGUAUCGAACAGG